GAUGGCGACCGGCGCACGGGUGAGUAACACGUAUCCAACCUGCCGAUGACGUCGGGGGUAGCCUUUCGAAAGAAAGAUUAAUACCCGAUGGCAUAGUUCUUCCGCAUGGUAGAACUAUUAAAGAAUUUCGGUCAUCGAUGGGGAUGCGUUCCAUUAGGUUGUUGGCGGGGUAACGGCCCACCAAGCCUUCGAUGGAUAGGGGUUCUGAGAGGAAGGUCCCCCACAUUGGAACUGAGACACGGUCCAAACUCCUACGGGAGGCAGCAUG
This 268-nucleotide ribosomal RNA is filed under the name uncultured bacterium. Its description in RNAcentral is "partial 16S ribosomal RNA". It matches the Rfam family "Bacterial small subunit ribosomal RNA", at positions 87 to 353 of the family's 1533-position model. The record is from RNAcentral.